This 1900-nucleotide long non-coding RNA is filed under the name Homo sapiens (human). Its description in RNAcentral is "HSALNT0392535". The record is from RNAcentral. Lineage: Eukaryota; Metazoa; Chordata; Mammalia; Primates; Hominidae.
ACGCUGCCCUGCAACUGCCGGGAGCACAGUUCCUUCCCGGACCUGGCUGCAGAUGAAUCAGCUGCUGCGCCCGGUGCGGGACAGAUGUGGCGCAGGGAGGGGGCCAGCGCCCCCGCCGCCCGUUAGAGGGGGCCGCCUCGCUAUUUCGUUUGAAGGGUUGUCUGUGGCUGGGAUUGGUGGCUCCUAUCCGCUGGGGAGCCGGGAGCGGAGGGAGGAGAGACGCAGGGAGGAGGAGCCGGGGGCUGGGCGACGCUGCGACUCCGCGGCCUGAGUGGCAGGAGCCUCGUCUGGAACCGGGCGGUUACUGGGGAGACGCUUUGUUUGCUAACUUCGAAAGCGGCUUCGGCUGCCUCGGCCGCUUUCGAAGCCACUCCACAAAACACGCCUUCGGUCGGUUUAACCCUACCUCCCCCCCCGCCCGCUUUAGCCAGCUCGAGACAAAAAUGUUUCCCUCUUCCCCGUGGUUCUCCUUGGCCACGCGGUGGCUCUCAUUAUGUACACAAAGGCACACAUAGUUCCUUUUGGCGUCUUAUCUUCUGAAGCUGCCUCAAGGCCAAGCAAAGAAAGUUGUUAAAAAGUUAAGUUACUUUUCACAGCCUGCAAACCCUUCAAAGGCAAGAACUCAAAUAGAAACUUGGAAAGGCAGAUAAGCCAGAAAAGUGUACUAAUAAACGCACUUAAUAUGAUUAUUUUUUGAUGCCAGGUCCACCAAGUGAAGAUUGGAGGAUGUAUUUGUUUCUUCUACUCAACAACAAUUGAUAAAGCAUGAGUUCCAUCAAGGACUGUGUUCUAGGUGGAGAAAGGGUGACUCACCCAGUCAUUGGAUCUCUUUCACUUCCAGUCUCUGGAAGGCAGAUAUCUUUAUAAAAUAUGCAGACAGCUAGGCUCUAAACACUGGACAAGAGGUCUGUAAUCAUCCAGUCACAUCUCAGGUCAGAGGGUCUUGGACUGCUUAAGAAAGAGCUGACCAUUGUCUUAAGAACCUGGGGUGGCCUAGAGCCAUCUUGAGGUGAUUUUAUCAGCCCCAUCAGGAUAAUUCUCCUCAGCUUCCUUGCAUGAAUAGUGUAACUGGUGCUACUACUUUUGUUUUUAGUCACUUUUCCUAGCCUGCACUUCCCUUCCCGGCCCUCCUUUUUCCUCUGUAGCCAAGUCAUCACUUCUCUUUACCUAAAUGAGUUUUGGAAUCCAGGGGAUAAAACGAAAAGAUAGGCAGGGCGCUGUGGCUCACACCUGUAAUCCCACCACUUUGGGAGGCCGAGGUGGGUGGAUCACCUGAGGUCAGGAGUUUGAGACCAGCCUGACCAAUAUGGUGAAACCCCAUCUCUACUAAAAAUACAAAAAUUAGCCGGGCGUGGUGGCGUGUGACUGUAGUCCCAGCUACUUGGGAGGCUGAGACAGGAGGGUUGCUUGAACCUGGGAGACAGAGGUUGCAGAAAGCUGAGAUCGUGCCAUUGCACUCCAGCCUGGGUGACAGAGCAAGACUCUGUCUCAAAAACAAAAACAAAAAAACGGAAAGAUAAUUCCUUGAGCACAAGCUUCACUCUCCUUAUUCUCAACAUCUGUGUCUGUAUUAUUCUUUACAGUUUAUGAAACACUUAUUUAAUCUCACUUAAUGCCCAAACUAGUGAUGUUAGUUAUUUUUUUUAAAAAGUCAAGAUCACUUAACACAUCCAAAUAUAACAAAGUUAAAAGGCAUAAAACUGGGUACCCAACAUAAAUUAUCUGAUUAUAAAUCAAGUGGUCUCUGGGAAAUCUUGUCAUUUCAGAAGGUCAGAUGGAUGUGGAGGGCAGAAACUAACCUCAGAUUAUGCCAGGGACGCCAGGGCCUCCUGAACACUGUGGGGGGUUGUGCUCUGAAAUCUACCUCCAGUUUUACAAGAAGCUCUCUUCCAAUCUGUCU